GGCUGUUGUGAUCAUCCCCAGCAGACAAGAUAAGGACAGUUCCCCCUGCAUUUAUUGUGAUUUGAGCAAAGGGAGAAGAAAGUGUUUCUUUUUCCUACCUUGGGUUUCAUCCAAGAUGUCAGCAUCCUCAGAAAUGGCUAGUACUUGCGAUCUUAUACACUAGGAUGACAUUAGACAAAUUCCACAGCACUGUGGAUGAAUUUCCCCAGCCUCAUCUGCAGAUCAGUUGCAGAAAACUGAUGAAACCAGAAGAGGUGAAAGACUUCUGGUGAUGGAGACUCAAAGCAAAAGACAGACACAGGAGCGCUGCUGUUCAACAAAGGAUGAACUCUCCUAGUGGGAGCUGUCUGCUCACUGGUACCCCAAGGGUGGUUUUUGCUGAAGG
This 385-nucleotide long non-coding RNA is filed under the name Anas platyrhynchos platyrhynchos (common mallard). RNAcentral's name for it is "lncRNA (ENSAPLG00000019113.1)". Lineage: Eukaryota; Metazoa; Chordata; Aves; Anseriformes; Anatidae. The record is from RNAcentral.